CCCUGUGGCUCAGUUGGUAGAGCAUGGUGUUUGCAAUGCCAGCAUGGUGUGUGCAACGCCAGGAUUGUGGGUUCGAUUCCCACAGGGG
This 88-nucleotide transfer RNA is filed under the name Salmo salar (Atlantic salmon). It matches the Rfam family "tRNA". Rfam says of the family: Transfer RNA (tRNA) molecules are approximately 80 nucleotides in length. Their secondary structure includes four short double-helical elements and three loops (D, anti-codon, and T loops). Further hydrogen bonds mediate the characteristic L-shaped molecular structure. tRNAs have two regions of fundamental functional importance: the anti-codon, which is responsible for specific mRNA codon recognition, and the 3' end, to which the tRNAs corresponding amino acid is attached (by aminoacyl-tRNA synthetases). tRNAs cope with the degeneracy of the genetic code in two manners: having more than one tRNA (with a specific anti-codon) for a particular amino acid; and 'wobble' base-pairing, i.e. permitting non-standard base-pairing at the 3rd anti-codon position. The record is from Rfam by way of RNAcentral. Lineage: Eukaryota; Metazoa; Chordata; Actinopteri; Salmoniformes; Salmonidae.